UACGGGGGGGGCAAGCGUUGUUCGGAAUUACUGGGCGUAAAGGGCUCGUAGGUGGCCAACUAAGUCAUACGUGAAAUCCCUCGGCUUAACCGGGGAACUGCGUCUGAUACUGGAUGGCUCGAGUUUGGGAGAGGGAUGCGGAAUUCCAGGUGUAGCGGUGAAAUGCGUAGAUAUCUGGAGGAACACCGGUGGCGAAGGCGGCAUCCUGGACCAACACUGACGCUGAUGAGCGAAAGCCAGGGGAGCAAACGGG
RNAcentral lists this ribosomal RNA (253 nucleotides) under uncultured bacterium. RNAcentral's name for it is "partial 16S ribosomal RNA". It matches the Rfam family "Bacterial small subunit ribosomal RNA", at positions 524 to 776 of the family's 1533-position model. The record is from RNAcentral.